UGAGUACGAGAUGCUACGGCGUCGAAGCAGUCUAUGUCAUACUUCCAAGAAAAGCUUGCACUGUCAUAAACAAAUAAUGCCUGUACCAUAACCGACACAGGUGGGUAGGUAGAGUAUACUAAGGGGCGCGAGAUAACUCUCUCUAAGGAACUCGGCAAAAUGACUCCGUAACUCCGGGAGAAGGAGUGCCUUAUUUAUAAGGUUGCAAUAACAAGACCCAAGCAACUGUUUAUCAAAAACACAGGUCUCCGCUAAGUCGUAAGACGAUGUAUGGGGGCUGACGCCUGCCCAGUGCCAGAAGGUUAAAGAAGUUGGUUAGCUUUUGCGAAGCUGAUGACUGAAGCCCUGGUGAACGGCGGCCGUAACAAUAACGGUCCUAAGGUAGCGAAAUUCCUUGUCGGGUAAGUUCCGACCCGCACGAAAGGCGUAAUGAUUUGGGUACUGUCUCAGAGAGGGACUCGGUGAAAUAGACUUGUCUGUGAAGAUGCGGACUACCUGCACCUGGACAGAAAGACCCUAUGAAGCUUUACUGUAACUUGAAAUUGAAAUUGGACUUUAUUUGCGCAGUAUAGGUGGGAGGCUUUGAAGAUAUUCUUGCGGGAAUGUUGGAGCCAUCAGUGAGAUACCACUCUUGUAAUGUUAGAUUUCUAACUUUGUAUCAUUAUCUGGUCAAAGAACAGUUUCAGGCGGGCAGUUUGACUGGGGCGGUCGCCUCCUAAACGGUAACGGAGGCGCACAAAGGUUUCCUCUGAACGGGUAGAAAUCGUAUCUAGAGUGUAAAGGCAUAAGGAAGCUUGACUGUGAGACCUACAAGUCGAGCAGGGACGAAAGUCGGUCUUAGUGAUCUGACGGUGCUGAGUGGAAAGGCCGUCACUCAACGGAUAAAAGUUACUCUAGGAUAACAGGCUGAUCUCCCCCAAGAGUUCACAUCGACGGGGAGGUUUGGCACCUCGAUGUCGGCUCAUCGCAUCCUGGGGCGGUAGUACGUCCCAAGGGUUGGGCUGUUCGCCCAUGAAAGCGGUACGCGAGCUGGGUUCAGAACGUCGUGAGACAGUUCGGUCCAUAUCCGGUGUAGGCGUUAGAAUAUUGAGAGGAGCCUUCUCUAGUACGAGAGGACCGAGAAGGACAUACCUCUGGUGUACCAGUUAUCGUGCCAACGGUAAACGCUGGGUAGCUAUGUGUGGAGUGGAUAACCGCUGAAAGCAUCUAAGUGGGAAGCCCACCUCAAGAUAAGUAUUCUCAUC
Molecule: ribosomal RNA, 1244 nt
Filed under: metagenome
Description: bacterial LSU rRNA
Rfam family: Bacterial large subunit ribosomal RNA
Source: RNAcentral